GUGCCAGCAGCCGCGGUAAUACGUAGGGGGCAAGCGUUGUCCGGAAUUACUGGGCGUAAAGCGCGUGUAGGCGGGACGGCAAGUCGGUCGUGAAAGGCUUCGGCUCAACCGGAGAUGGCCGAUCGAAACUGCCGUUCUUGAGGGUCGAAGAGGAGAGUGGAAUUCCUGGUGUAGCGGUGAAAUGCGUAGAGAUCAGGAGGAACACCCAUGGCGAAGGCAGCUCUCUGGUCGACCUCUGACGCUGAGACGCGAAAGCGUGGGGAGCGAACGGGAUUAGAUACCCCUGUAGUCC
This 292-nucleotide ribosomal RNA is filed under the name uncultured bacterium. Its description in RNAcentral is "partial 16S ribosomal RNA". It matches the Rfam family "Bacterial small subunit ribosomal RNA", at positions 505 to 796 of the family's 1533-position model. The record is from RNAcentral.